This 21-nucleotide microRNA is filed under the name Cyprinus carpio (common carp). RNAcentral's name for it is "ccr-miR-7132". The record is from miRBase by way of RNAcentral. Lineage: Eukaryota; Metazoa; Chordata; Actinopteri; Cypriniformes; Cyprinidae.
UGAGGAGUUUAGAGCAAGUAA